RNAcentral lists this ribosomal RNA (403 nucleotides) under uncultured bacterium. Its description in RNAcentral is "partial 16S ribosomal RNA". It matches the Rfam family "Bacterial small subunit ribosomal RNA", at positions 28 to 526 of the family's 1533-position model. The record is from RNAcentral.
GACGAACGCUGGCGGCGUGCCUAAUACAUGCAAGUCGAACGCAGUGGGGACGGGUGAGUAACACGUGGGUAACCUCCCAUCAGAGGGGAUAACCCUUGGAAACAGGUGCUAAACCGAUACUGAUGGAUGGACCCGCGGUGCAUUAGCUAGUUGGGGGGGUAACGGCUCACCAAGGCCACGAUGCCUAGCCGGCCUGAGAGGGUGAUCAGCCACACGGGGACUGAGACACGGCCCAGACUCCUACGGGAGGCAGCAGUAGGGAAUAUUCGGCAAUGGGCGAAAGUCUGACCGAGCAAGGCCGCGUGAGUGAAGAAGGUUUUCGGAUCGUAAAACUCUGUUGUUAGAGAAGCGGUAUCUAACCAGAAAGCCACGGCUAACUACGUGCCAGCAGCCGCGGUAAUUC